UACGAAGGGGGCUAGCGUUGCUCGGAAUUACUGGGCGUAAAGGGAGCGUAGGCGGACAGCUAAGUCAGAGGUGAAAGCCCAGGGCUCAACCCUGGAAUUGCCUUUGAUACUGGCUAUCUUGAGUAUGGGAGAGGUGUGUGGAACUCCGAGUGUAGAGGUGAAAUUCGUAGAUAUUCGGAAGAACACCAGUGGCGAAGGCGACUCACUGGCCCGAUACUGACGCUGAGGCGCGAAAGCGUGGGGAGCGAUCCGG
This 253-nucleotide ribosomal RNA is filed under the name uncultured bacterium. Its description in RNAcentral is "partial 16S ribosomal RNA". It matches the Rfam family "Bacterial small subunit ribosomal RNA", at positions 524 to 776 of the family's 1533-position model. The record is from RNAcentral.